This 407-nucleotide ribosomal RNA is filed under the name uncultured bacterium. Its description in RNAcentral is "partial 16S ribosomal RNA". It matches the Rfam family "Bacterial small subunit ribosomal RNA", at positions 28 to 526 of the family's 1533-position model. The record is from RNAcentral.
GACGAACGCUGGCGGCGUGCCUAAUACAUGCAAGUAGAACGCAGUUGCGAACGGGUGAGUAACGCGUAGGUAACUGCCUCAUAGCGGGGGAUAACUAUUGGAAACGAUAGCUAAUACCGCAUACUGUGAGAUGGACCUGCGGUGUAUUAGCUAGUUGGUGAGGUAAAGGGGCACCAAGGCGACGAUACAUAGCCGGCCUGAGAGGGGGUACGGCUAAACUGGGACUGUGGACCGGCCCAAACUCCUACGGGGGGCAGGAGUAGGGAAUCUUCGGCAAUGGACGGAAGUCUGACCGCGCAACGCCGGGUGAGUGAAGAAGGGUUUCGGAUCGUAAAGCUCUGUUGUUAGAGAAGCGGUAACUACCCAGAAAGGGCCGGCUAACUACGUGCCAGCCGCCGCGGUAAUAC